This 500-nucleotide ribosomal RNA is filed under the name uncultured bacterium. RNAcentral describes it as "bacterial SSU rRNA". It matches the Rfam family "Bacterial small subunit ribosomal RNA", at positions 29 to 508 of the family's 1533-position model. The record is from RNAcentral.
AACGAACGCUGGCGGCGUGGAUAAGACAUGCAAGUCGAACGGGAUAUUGCUUGUAGCAAUACAGGCGAUGUUCAGUGGCGAAAGGGUGCGUAACACGUGGGCAACCUGCCCGGAAGUGCGGGAUAGCUCGCCGAAAGGCGAAUUAAUACCGCAUGUGGCCAGGGAGAACUUCUCCCGAAGCCAAAGUCGGAGCAAUCUGACGCUUCUGGAUGGGCCCGCGGCCUAUCAGCUAGUUGGCGGGGUAACGGCCCACCAAGGCGAUGACGGGUAGCUGGUCUGAGAGGACGACCAGCCACACUGGAACUGAGACACGGUCCAGACACCUACGGGUGGCAGCAGUCGAGAAUUUUUCUCAAUGGGGGAAACCCUGAAGGAGCGACGCCGCGUGGAGGAUGAAGGUCUACGGAUUGUAAACUCCUGUCAUGCGAGAGCAACGCCAGCCGGUUAACUGCCGGUUGGUUUGAUAGUACCGCAAGAGGAAGAGACGGCUAACUCUGUGC